This 440-nucleotide long non-coding RNA is filed under the name Physcomitrium patens. RNAcentral describes it as "long non-coding RNA (PPAT_LNC012955)". Lineage: Eukaryota; Viridiplantae; Streptophyta; Bryopsida; Funariales; Funariaceae. The record is from RNAcentral.
AAGAUUGAAAAAAGAAGUCGGCCAAUAUCUAAGUGGAUUUUAGAAUCUAUCUUCUAUUUUGUAAGUUCAAUCUUUUUAAAAUACGUUUUUGCUUGUUACUAUCUUAGUUGUUGAAAAGUGUGUAAAAUUUGAGUGAAAAUCAAUGGUUUGAUUGUUAGUUAUGGAGGUUUUAAUUUUCCUUAGGAUUUAUUAAGAAUUUGUUUAAGAUUUAGGGUUGGUUUAAGAUCUAAAAUUUGAUUAGGAAUUUUUUAAGAUUUUUCUAGAAUUUUCUAAAAUUUAAUUAAGAUUUAUCUAUGAUUUUUUUAAGAUUUGAUUAGAAAUUAUCUACGAUUUAUUUAGGAUUUAAUUAGAAUUUAAUUAGGAUUUUUUUGUAUUUCUUUUAUCAUUUAUUUUAAAAUUUAAUUAGACUUAAUAAAUGAUUGAUUAUGUUUGUAAAGAUU